AUUGAACGCUGGCGGCAUGCUUUACACAUGCAAGUCGAACGGCAGCACGGGCUUCGGCCUGGCGGCGAGUGGCGAACGGGUGAGUAAUGCAUCGGAACGUGCCCAGUAGUGGGGGAUAGCCCGGCGAAAGCCGGAUUAAUACCGCAUACGACCUGAGGGUGAAAGCGGGGGACCGAAAGGCCUCGCGCUAUUGGAGCGGCCGAUGUCGGAUUAGCUAGUUGGUGGGGUAAAGGCUUACCAAGGCGACGAUCCGUAGCUGGUCUGAGAGGACGACCAGCCACACUGGGACUGAGACACGGCCCAGACUCCUACGGGAGGCAGCAGUGGGGAAUUUUGGACAAUGGGGGCAACCCUGAUCCAGCCAUGCCGCGUGCGGGAAGAAGGCCUUCGGGUUGUAAACCGCUUUUGUUCGGGAAGAAAUCCUCUGGGCUAAUACCCCGGGGGGAUGACGGUACCGGAAGAAUAAGCACCGGCUAACUACGUG
Molecule: ribosomal RNA, 484 nt
Filed under: uncultured bacterium
Lineage: Bacteria
Description: partial 16S ribosomal RNA
Rfam family: Bacterial small subunit ribosomal RNA
Source: RNAcentral